Paragonimus heterotremus is the source of this 81-nucleotide non-coding RNA. NCBI's taxonomy places the organism in Eukaryota, Metazoa, Platyhelminthes, Trematoda, Plagiorchiida, Troglotrematidae. The record is from the annotation of a GenBank genome assembly.
GGCUUUGUAGCUCAGCUUGUAGAACGCUUGCCGCGCUGAGGCAUGAUGUUUCCGUCUUUGGUUCGAAUCCAGACAAAGCCC